AGUGAACGCUGGCGGUAGGCCUAACACAUGCAAGUCGAACGGAAGCACAGUAAGAGCUUGCUCUUACGGGUGGCGAGUGGCGGACGGGUGAGGAAUACAUCGGAAUCUACUUUUUCGUGGGGGAUAACGUAGGGAAACUUACGCUAAUACCGCAUACGACCUACGGGUGAAAGCAGGGGAUCUUCGGACCUUGCGCGAUUGAAUGAGCCGAUGUCGGAUUAGCUAGUUGGCGGGGUAAAGGCCCACCAAGGCGACGAUCCGUAGCUGGUCUGCGAGGAUGAUCAGCCACACUGGAACUGAGACACGGUCCAGACUCCUACGGGAGGCAGCAGUGGGGAAUAUUGGACAAUGGGCGCAAGCCUGAUCCAGCCAUACCGCGUGGGUGAAGAAGGCCUUCGGGUUGUAAAGCCCUUUUGUUGGGAAAGAAAAGCAGCAGGUUAAUACCCCGCUGUUCUGACGGUACCCAAAGAAUAAGCACCGGCUAACUUCGUG
Molecule: ribosomal RNA, 492 nt
Filed under: uncultured bacterium
Lineage: Bacteria
Description: partial 16S ribosomal RNA
Rfam family: Bacterial small subunit ribosomal RNA
Source: RNAcentral